This 228-nucleotide ribosomal RNA is filed under the name Mycoplasmopsis synoviae. Its description in RNAcentral is "Mycoplasma synoviae partial 16S ribosomal RNA". It matches the Rfam family "Bacterial small subunit ribosomal RNA", at positions 1225 to 1452 of the family's 1533-position model. The record is from RNAcentral. Lineage: Bacteria; Bacillati; Mycoplasmatota; Mycoplasmoidales; Metamycoplasmataceae.
CGUCUCCGAAGUUAACAAUGAAGCAAAAUAGUGAUAUCAAGCAAAUCUCAAAAAAUCGUUCUCAGUUCGGAUUGUAGUCUGCAACUCGACUACAUGAAGUCGGAAUCGCUAGUAAUCGUAGAUCAGCUACGCUACGGUGAAUACGUUCUCGGGUCUUGUACACACCGCCCGUCACACCAUGGGAGCUGGUAAUGCCCGAAGUCGGUUUGUUAACUUCGGAGACGACAA